This 253-nucleotide long non-coding RNA is filed under the name Gallus gallus (chicken). RNAcentral describes it as "long non-coding RNA NONGGAT001058". The record is from RNAcentral. Lineage: Eukaryota; Metazoa; Chordata; Aves; Galliformes; Phasianidae.
UUUCACACAACUGGAAUGCUGCAAUCAUGAAUACACACUUUCUGAGAAGAACAUUCCAGGAUGGAGACUUCGAUCACCUCAGUACCUGUGGAAGGAACAAACCGAUAGGACAUAAGCAAUCCAAGAUGUUCCUGAAGAAGAAACAGAUAUGAACUUCAAAAACCUGGAAGAACUCUCGUGUUGGCACACUGGUCUCCAUGGUAGACUUAACCACACCAGUAUCUUCAGAAGGAAUAAAAAAGUAGGACACGAG